GACGAACGCUGGCGGCGUGCUUAACACAUGCAAGUCGAACGGAAAGGCCCUGCUUUUGUGGGGUGCUCGAGUGGCGAACGGGUGAGUAACACGUGAGUAACCUGCCCUUGACUUUGGGAUAACUUCAGGAAACUGGGGCUAAUACCGGAUAGGAGCUCCUGCUGCAUGGUGGGGGUUGGAAAGUUUCGGCGGUUGGGGAUGGACUCGCGGCUUAUCAGCUUGUUGGUGGGGUAGUGGCUUACCAAGGCUUUGACGGGUAGCCGGCCUGAGAGGGUGACCGGCCACAAUGGGACUGAGAUACGGACCAGACUCCUACCGGGGGCAGCAGGGGGGAAUAUUGCACAAUGGGCGGAAGCCUGAUGCAGCAACGCAGCGGGCGGGAUGACGGCCUUGGGGGGGGAAACCGCUUGCGGCUAUGACGAAGCGUGAGUGACGGUAAUGGGAAAAGAAGCACCGGCUAACUACGUG
This 468-nucleotide ribosomal RNA is filed under the name uncultured bacterium. RNAcentral's name for it is "partial 16S ribosomal RNA". It matches the Rfam family "Bacterial small subunit ribosomal RNA", at positions 28 to 507 of the family's 1533-position model. The record is from RNAcentral.